AGGAGCUUGAUUCCAUUCCUGUGACUUCAGAUAUAGUGCCAUCUUCAAACAAGCAAAAUAAGAUAAUAUGCCCGAUAUGUAACAAAUACUACCCAAUCCAUAACAUUGAGUUCCACGCUAGUAUCUGUGGAGAAAGUUAUAGUCCUGUAAGGAUCCCAGAUGAUGGACCUGA
Molecule: long non-coding RNA, 172 nt
Organism: Fundulus heteroclitus (mummichog)
Lineage: Eukaryota; Metazoa; Chordata; Actinopteri; Cyprinodontiformes; Fundulidae
Exons: 3
Source: RefSeq, a predicted model, not a curated record